This 460-nucleotide ribosomal RNA is filed under the name uncultured bacterium. RNAcentral's name for it is "partial 16S ribosomal RNA". It matches the Rfam family "Bacterial small subunit ribosomal RNA", at positions 338 to 795 of the family's 1533-position model. The record is from RNAcentral.
CCUACGGGCGGCAGCAGUGAGGAAUAUUGGUCAAUGGGCGGAAGCCUGAACCAGCCAAGUCGCGUGAGGGAAUAAGGCCCUACGGGUCGUAAACCUCUUUUGCCGGGGAGCAAGGGCGGGGACGUGUCCCGGCCCGGAGAGUACCCGGAGAAAAAGCAUCGGCUAACUCCGUGCCAGCAGCCGCGGUCAUACGGAGGAUGCGAGCGUUAUCCGGAUUUAUUGGGUUUAAGGGGUGCGUAGGCGGGCUUUUAAGGAGGCGGGAAAAAUUCGGGGCUAAACCCCGGCCGGCCGUUGAAACUGGGAGGCUUGAGUAGGCGAGAAGAAGGCGGAAUGCGCGGUGUAGCGGUGAAAUGCAUAGAUAUCCCGACGAACCCCGAUUGCGAAGGCAGCCCUCCGGAGACCUACUGACGCUGAGGCACGAAAGGGUGGGGAUCGAACAGGAUUAGAUACCCUUGUAGUC